Molecule: long non-coding RNA, 1078 nt
Organism: Triticum aestivum (bread wheat)
Lineage: Eukaryota; Viridiplantae; Streptophyta; Magnoliopsida; Poales; Poaceae
Exons: 3
Source: RefSeq, a predicted model, not a curated record
CGCGUCACCUGAUCCCCUGGCAGAAAGAAAAAAAAAACCGUCCUCGAUCCCCCUCGCGCUAUCUCGUCUCGCACCCGACUCGCUCCCGCACAGGCUAGGGUUCCCGUUGCAGCCGCCGCCGCCGCCACCAGUCCCCUACUCGUCUGCUCCGCGCCGCGGCUAGCUCCGGCGACAUGGCCGGAGGGUAGGAGCCCAUCUUCCGUCGCUUCUCCAACCUCGGGCACGACCCCUACCUUCCCUGGCGGCCAGGAGCAGCUCGUGUCGGUCCCGUCGGCGCCCUACUCCGGCGGUCGGUGCCCCACUCCGGCCGCGACCCAGUCCGUCGAGAAGGAACCCCGUUCGUUCCCCCUUCCCUCCUCAGUCCGUGGCCAUGAGCUCGGCCGGCAAGGAGCUUAUUCUCACAGCAUAGCUCAAAAGAACUGGCCCUGAAGCGGACUCGCGCGGAGGAGCUCCGCCUCUGGGCCAGGUGCGUAGCUGGCGUCCAUCUCGGCGCCGGGGAGGGAGGAACAACGGCGCGGCUGAGUCCGCUGCCUUCGUCACUCGCCGCUGUCCGCCGAUGUGGUUGCCUGCAUCUUCAUGAGCCACGGCCGGCCACCCUGUCGUCGCUAGUCAUUGUCGCGCCAGAGAUAUCCUUCGACCGUUGCUGUGUCCCGCCGGCACCUAGGCGCCCUUGUCCGGACAAGUUCCACUGUUCCCCUCCAGGCCCUCCUCAACACCCAACCGCAGCCAGCAACCAAGUUUAUAUAUCGUGCAUCAAAGGGUAUCACCAGUCGGAAGAUUCCAGCUUAGUGCCGUCAACGUACUGACUGCUUCCCCUCUGAAUGCAUGUUUGCUCAUGCCUAAACAUGAUAUGAGUAGGAGUAAAAAACUUGUAUGUGGUAUAUUCAGUUGAUUAAUCUGGAUGGGCUGUAAGGUAGCCAUUUAUGUUUAGAGUACUUUCUCGGGUUCACGCCAAAGGGAGAUAAUGGUCUUACAUGUUGGCCUGUAUUUUGAUUUCCUGUAGUCUAAGAGGAGAGCUGAUUGUGCUCACGUAUUGUGUUUUUUUGCUGAGUUGUAUGUGCAAGUUAGGCUUUCAUCC